Molecule: ribosomal RNA, 433 nt
Filed under: uncultured bacterium
Lineage: Bacteria
Description: partial 16S ribosomal RNA
Rfam family: Bacterial small subunit ribosomal RNA
Source: RNAcentral
AGCGAACGCUGGCGGCAGGCUUAACACAUGCAAGUCGAGCGGGCACUUCGGUGUCAGCGGCAGACGGGUGAGUAACACGUGGGAACGUACCCUUCGGUUCGGAAUAACGCUGGGAAACUAGCGCUAAUACCGGAUACGCCCUUUUGGGGAAAGGUUUACUGCCGAAGGAUCGGCCCGCGUCUGAUUAGCUAGUUGGUGGGGUAAUGGCCUACCAAGGCGACAAUCAGUAGCUGGUCUGAGAGGAUGAUCAGCCACACUGGGACUGAGACACGGCCCAGACUCCUACUGGAGGACACAAAGGGGACUAUUGGACAGCGGGUGCAAGCCAGAACCAGCCAAGCCGCGUGAGUGAUGAAAGCCUUAGGGUUGUAAAGCUCUUUUGUCCGGAACGAUAAUGACGGUACCGGAAGAAUAAGCCCCGGCUAACUUCGUG